CAAUGUUGGCCAAGCUGGUCUCGAACUACUGACCUCAAGUGAUCCUCCUGCCUCAGCCUCCCAAAGUGCUGGGAUUACAGGUGUGAGCCACCACCAUGCCUGGCCUUAUUGGGUAUCAUUUAUAGCUGAUUUCCCUCAAAGUUCCUUCUUUUCCUGUGCCUUUUCCUAGUUGAUGAGUCUCAGGGACACUCCUACCUUGUCAUCAACUACCCAGAUGCUCAGUCACCUGUUGCUUUAGCAUUGAGUUCCUGUUUCUCUUGUCUCAGGUACCCUUUAGAGACCUCCAAUUGGU
This 292-nucleotide long non-coding RNA is filed under the name Homo sapiens (human). RNAcentral describes it as "non-protein coding lnc-SPAM1-1:1". Lineage: Eukaryota; Metazoa; Chordata; Mammalia; Primates; Hominidae. The record is from RNAcentral.